UACGUAGGGUGCAAGCGUUAAUCGGAAUUACUGGGCGUAAAGCGUGCGCAGGCGGUUUGUUAAGACAGAUGUGAAAUCCCCGGGCUUAACCUGGGAACUGCGUUUGUAACUGGCAAGCUAGAGUGUGGCAGAGGGGGGUGGAAUUCCAAGUGUAGCAGUGAAAUGCGUAGAUAUUUGGAGGAACACCAAUGGCGAAGGCAGCCCCCUGGGUUAACACUGACGCUCAUGCACGAAAGCGUGGGGAGCAAACAGG
RNAcentral lists this ribosomal RNA (253 nucleotides) under uncultured bacterium. RNAcentral describes it as "partial 16S ribosomal RNA". It matches the Rfam family "Bacterial small subunit ribosomal RNA", at positions 524 to 776 of the family's 1533-position model. The record is from RNAcentral.